This 430-nucleotide ribosomal RNA is filed under the name bacterium. RNAcentral describes it as "partial 16S ribosomal RNA". It matches the Rfam family "Bacterial small subunit ribosomal RNA", at positions 355 to 776 of the family's 1533-position model. The record is from RNAcentral.
UGGGGAAUAUUGGACAAUGGGCGGAAGCCUGAUCCAGCCAUGCCGCGUGUGUGAAGAAGGCCUUUUGGUUGUAAAGCACUUUAAGCGAGGAGGAGGCUACUUGGAUUAAUACUCUAGGAUAGUGGACGUUACUCGCAGAAUAAGCACCGGCUAACUCUGUGCCAGCAGCCGCGGUAAUACAGAGGGUGCGAGCGUUAAUCGGAUUUACUGGGCGUAAAGCGUGCGCAUGCGGCUUCUUAAGUCGGAUGUGAAAUCCCUGAGCUUAACUUAGGAAUUGCAUUCGAUACUGGGAAGCUAGAGUAUGGGAGAGGAUGGUAGAAUUCCAGGUGUAGCGGUGAAAUGCGUAGAGAUCUGGCGGAAUACCGAUGGCGAAGGCAGCCAUCUGGCCUAAUACUGACGCUGAGGUACGAAAGCAUGGGGAGCAAACAGG